RNAcentral lists this long non-coding RNA (457 nucleotides) under Mytilus galloprovincialis (Mediterranean mussel). Lineage: Eukaryota; Metazoa; Mollusca; Bivalvia; Mytilida; Mytilidae. The record is from RNAcentral.
CUAUAGUACACACAGGGAGACUCAGUAAAAACACAAUUGUGAAUUGUCACAGUGAAUUGUAAUGAUCGUAGGUGGUUGUCUCUAGAAAAUCUCUUAGUAUUAAUACAUAGAUAAUAUUCAACAUGGUCGAAACUCAGAGGUAAGAUACUCUAAAUAACCAACGAACACACUGUUUCACAGUGAAUUAAUCAAUACGUAUACCAGUAAAGGAGGUUUUGUUUAUGCACCACCUAAAUGCAUUAUUUUUUUUCGGACUGUGUGUCCGUUCGUCCGUUCGUUCGUUCAUUUGUCCUUUUCAUGUUAAUGUUUUUGGUUAAUGUAGUUUUUAAUGAAGUUGUUACUUAAUACACUUGUUCCCUAUGAAAUCAUCUUUCUAUUUUUAAUGCCAAAUUAGAGAUCUGAUCCCACUUUUACAGUCCACUGAAUAAAGAAAAUGAUAGUGGGAAUGUGGUAUCCA